This 1479-nucleotide ribosomal RNA is filed under the name uncultured organism. RNAcentral's name for it is "SSU rRNA". It matches the Rfam family "Bacterial small subunit ribosomal RNA". The record is from RNAcentral.
GUUCAGGACGAACGCUGGCGGCGUGCCUAAUACAUGCAAGUCGAACGAACUCUGGUAUUGAUUGGUGCUUGCAUCAUGAUUUACAUUUGAGUGAGUGGCGAACUGGUGAGUAACACGUGGGAAACCUGCCCAGAAGCGGGGGAUAACACCUGGAAACAGAUGCUAAUACCGCAUAACAACUUGGACCGCAUGGUCCGAGUUUGAAAGAUGGCUUCGGCUAUCACUUUUGGAUGGUCCCGCGGCGUAUUAGCUAGAUGGUGGGGUAACGGCUCACCAUGGCAAUGAUACGUAGCCGACCUGAGAGGGUAAUCGGCCACAUUGGGACUGAGACACGGCCCAAACUCCUACGGGAGGCAGCAGUAGGGAAUCUUCCACAAUGGACGAAAGUCUGAUGGAGCAACGCCGCGUGAGUGAAGAAGGGUUUCGGCUCGUAAAACUCUGUUGUUAAAGAAGAACAUAUCUGAGAGUAACUGUUCAGGUAUUGACGGUAUUUAACCAGAAAGCCACGGCUAACUACGUGCCAGCAGCCGCGGUAAUACGUAGGUGGCAAGCGUUGUCCGGAUUUAUUGGGCGUAAAGCGAGCGCGGGCGGUUUUUUAAGUCUGAUGUGAAAGCCUUCGGCUCAACCGAAGAAGUGCAUCGGAAACUGGGAAACUUGAGUGCAGAAGAGGACAGUGGAGCUCCAUGUGUAGCGGUGAAAUGCGUAGAUAUAUGGAAGAACACCAGUGGCGAAGGCGGCUGUCUGGUCUGUAACUGACGCUGAGGCUCGAAAGUAUGGGUAGCAAACAGGAUUAGAUACCCUGGUAGUCCAUACCGUAAACGAUGAAUGCUAAGUGUUGGAGGGUUUCCGCCCUUCAGUGCUGCAGCUAACGCAUUAAGCAUUCCGCCUGGGGAGUACGGCCGCAAGGCUGAAACUCAAAGGAAUUGACGGGGGCCCGCACAAGCGGUGGAGCAUGUGGUUUAAUUCGAAGCUACGCGAAGAACCUUACCAGGUCUUGACAUACUAUGCAAAUCUAAGAGAUUAGACGUUCCCUUCGGGGACAUGGAUACAGGUGGUGCAUGGUUGUCGUCAGCUCGUGUCGUGAGAUGUUGGGUUAAGUCCCGCAACGAGCGCAACCCUUAUUAUCAGUUGCCAGCAUUAAGUUGGGCACUCUGGUGAGACUGCCGGUGACAAACCGGAGGAAGGUGGGGAUGACGUCAAAUCAUCAUGCCCCUUAUGACCUGGGCUACACACGUGCUACAAUGGAUGGUACAACGAGUUGCGAACUCGCGAGAGUAAGCUAAUCUCUUAAAGCCAUUCUCAGUUCGGAUUGUAGGCUGCAACUCGCCUACAUGAAGUCGGAAUCGCUAGUAAUCGCGGAUCAGCAUGCCGCGGUGAAUACGUUCCCGGGCCUUGUACACACCGCCCGUCACACCAUGAGAGUUUGUAACACCCAAAGUCGGUGGGGUAACCUUUUAGGAACCAGCCGCCUAAGGUGGG